Non-coding RNA from Microcebus murinus (gray mouse lemur), 1385 nucleotides. The record is from RefSeq and is a predicted model, not a curated record. NCBI's taxonomy places the organism in Eukaryota, Metazoa, Chordata, Mammalia, Primates, Cheirogaleidae.
UCCCUCGCUUGCUCCCACUCUCGCGAUGGGACUCACCUGCUCCCUCCUCACCUUCCGUCUUGAUUGGCAGCUCCCCAGGCCCUCACCGGAAGCAGAUGCUGGCGUGACACUUGUCGUACAGUCUGCAGAACCUGAACCUUCAGAGGAUGAAGGGGAAGCUUUCCCUUGGUGCCUACGGUGAUUAAGAUAAGCCUAUCUAAGGUGAUGGAAAUGAAGUGCAGACUUGGACAAAGGGAAGAUGCCAGCCACGCAAUGAUCUGGAGGGAGAGCAUCAAAGCAGAGGAAAUCCAAAAGCCCCAAGAGGGAUGAGUCUGGUGUGCUCCAAAGGAAAACCAGUGCCAGGAGGGGGAGGACGGUGGGAGGUUGCAGUUUAUUUAGAUGCUUCGUUUUAAUGGCUGUCAUCGAAAAGAAAGAUUCCUCACAAAGGCGAGAUCCCGGCCUGGCUUCCCAGCAUCCUGUACCAUCCCAGGACUGAGCAGAUGUCCUGUGGGAAAACUGGCUGUAUGUUUAGGGCUCCUCUGCCUUUCCAGUACAACUCACAUGACAGGGAUCUGGACCAGUCGAAACAUCAUCUCAGAGUAGACAAGUGUCAUUGGAAAUGGUCAGGAUGAAUCUUCAAGAGCAAUACCUAUGUCAGUGAGAAAUACUAUACUGAAUAGACUCCAAUUCUGUUUCAGCUAAUCCCCUAUGUGAUGGUAUUUGGAGGUAGGACCUUUAGGAGAUAAUUAGGUUUUGAUGAGCUCAUGAGGGUGGAGCCCCCAUAAUAGGAUUAGUGCCUUUAUAAGAAGAGACACAACCUAUCUAUCUGUCCAUCCAUCCAUUCCCUGCUUCCUUGCCUAUGUAAGCAUACGUCAAGAAAGCAGUCAUCUGCAAACUCGGAAGAGAGCUCUCAACACAACCCAACCAUGCUGGCAGCCUGAUCUCAGAAUUCUCAGCCUCCUGAACUGUGAGAAAUAAAAUGUCUAUUGUUUAAGCUGCCCAGUCUAAGGUAUUUUGUUAGCAGCCUAGCCCUAGCAGACUCCAAUACUGCUGUUCUUGUUUCUUUGAAAGGUCAGCUUUAUGAUAGAUUAAAAUGUGAUUAAUUCAGGGAUAUCUAGUAUUUUAAGCAAGAUAUACUUAUGUUCAUUUAUGACUUCAUUUAAAAAUAUUUUUAAAACUCCACAAUAAUAGGAUUUCCUCAGUAAGAUUUGCUUCCUAGUGUUUUUCUAACCUUUAUAAAACAUAAUAGCAUAUUCUUUCUAGGAGAGAGAAAGUAGUUUUAUCAUUACCCUACUGAGAUUGAUUUAACUGGCCAGAUCCAAGAUGGGAAAAGCAUAAGGUCAAACUUUCAAAAUUGGGCUAGCUUUCUGAGUUUAUAAGAGCAUUUUUUUUUUUUUUUUUUUUGC